GGGCCGGGGCCUCGAGAGCGCUGGGAUCCAGGCACAAAGCUGGGACACUGAGAAGCACCCGGAAGCUUGCUGUCACAUUUCUGCGCACCAAGUCCUGAGCCAGACCAGGAGCUGGGAAAGUGAAGGGUCUCCUCUCUGAAAGUGGUCUGCCCUUGGGGGCAAUGCUUUUACUUGACGUUGAUGUGGGGGAGACAGAUACCCUAGGAAGUGUCCCCCGGAGGGAAUCCAUGGUGGACGCCACAAAGUCGACUUCCUAUCUCUCUCCUGGCUGCUUUCUCUCCUGGGCGUGGGCUGGGUGAAGAUUAAUGGCUCUUCAGCUCUCCCCUUAGAACACAUGCAGUCGUCACGUCCUGAAGAGAAAUGCAGUGGCUCAUAAAUUAUGGGCUGUCGUCAGAGAAGAUGCUACAAAGAGCCUGCCAUAUUGCUUCGGCGUUUGAGUAAAAGAAAGUUAGGAAAAUGUCUGUAGUCGCAGCGCCGCUUCGAGGGACUUAAACGAUCUUCAUGAGUUGUUUUCCGUCCGAGGGCAAAUCCAUUAGGAAUUAGAACUGUUAGAAAUGGAGUGGUUGACAUCCCCUUCCAAACUUCUCAGAGUCUUCAACGAAUAACGAAUGGAAAAACAACCAACUAAACAAUCCAACUGCUAAACAAUCCAUCUAGCACGGAGACUCUGAAAGAGCUCUGGGGGCAUUGCUGUCUUGGAACAUUACAACAUGUUUUUCAGGAUUACAAGGUGUUCCUAAUGUUCCCAGAAUUGAGAUCAAUUUCAGACGCAGCACUGAAGCCACAAAGAGGACUAGAAGUAUCUCUACAGGCCUGGAAGGAGUGACCUCAGUGCUACGGGCUGGAGAAUCGGACUGAUAAAUGCCACGACUGUCCUGGGAUAGGAGCCAUGGAAAGUCAGUGAACUGGACACGUCUGCCUUCCAGGUUUUGCUGAUGAAACCACGGAAGGCUGUUAAUUACGUCUCGCUUCUAAGCCUGACAGUGUGGAGGGGUGCUCAACUUUGAUCACGCUCUAAUGAGUUGAGUGCUAAAGCUGGAUGGCAAGACGCUCUCCUUGAGAAGCCGUGUUCUUCUUCCCAGGAGAGGCUCCACAACCUGGAGCGUGAUGAUGUGCGCAGAAUUGGCUGGAGGUUUUCGGAUCUUUCUACCUCUUUCCGCCUCUGCCGCCCGAGUGUGGGGACCAGCUUCUCUGUGGACCCAAACUGUGAAAUGAUCGGAGGGGUGAAAACGCUUCGCAAGUGACUUGUCUGGUAUCUCUGUCCUGGAAGUCUGGAGUUUCAGUGUCUGUCCCUAAACUUCAUCACUGUUGUUCCCUUGGGUUCUUUACUGAUUGUAAAUGAGGAUGAAAAGUAAAAGCCACGAUGGUCUUUCC
Molecule: long non-coding RNA, 1374 nt
Organism: Leopardus geoffroyi (Geoffroy's cat)
Lineage: Eukaryota; Metazoa; Chordata; Mammalia; Carnivora; Felidae
Exons: 8
Source: RefSeq, a predicted model, not a curated record